GCUGGGCGUGGUGACGCACACCUGUAAUCCCAGCUACUCGGGAGGCUGAGGCAGGAGAACUGCUUGAACACAGGAGGCAGGGAUUGCAGUGAGCUGAGAUUGUGCCACUGCACUCCAGCCUGGGUGACAGAGCAAGAAUCUGUCUCAA
This is a non-coding RNA of Homo sapiens (human), 148 nucleotides long. It matches the Rfam family "Metazoan signal recognition particle RNA". Rfam says of the family: The signal recognition particle (SRP) is a universally conserved ribonucleoprotein. It is involved in the co-translational targeting of proteins to membranes. The eukaryotic SRP consists of a 300-nucleotide 7S RNA and six proteins: SRPs 72, 68, 54, 19, 14, and 9. The record is from Rfam. Lineage: Eukaryota; Metazoa; Chordata; Mammalia; Primates; Hominidae.